This 404-nucleotide unclassified non-coding RNA is filed under the name Hevea brasiliensis (rubber tree). The record is from RNAcentral. Lineage: Eukaryota; Viridiplantae; Streptophyta; Magnoliopsida; Malpighiales; Euphorbiaceae.
AAAAAAAAUCCCUUAUUAAACUUCAUGUCAGAUCCUCAAAUUUUAAACCAUCAUGAAGAUGAAAUAUUAGUACUAAACAAAAAUAAUAAUAAUAGUACUACUUCUAGGCAUAAUAAUAUUGGUGAAGAUUUGUGUCGAACACCAACUUGUCGGAAAAACAAGAUUCCGAUAGCCGGAAGUUGUCCUCCCCCGGCUCCGAAGAAACCGAGGGAAUCAUUACUUAGUAAGAGAAAGUUUCCACAGUUCGAAUUUUUUGAAGUUGGUGGAAAUGAAGAGUUGGAGAAAUUCUUCGUAUCGUGUAAUGAAAUUUCUCGAGGUAUGGCCGUUAAGAAAAGACUUAUCAUGAAUUAAUAUAGUUUUAUCAUAUUCAAAGUAUUAGUUAAUUAAUUUCAUGUGAAUUAUAA